Molecule: small nuclear RNA, 170 nt
Filed under: Pogona vitticeps (central bearded dragon)
Lineage: Eukaryota; Metazoa; Chordata; Lepidosauria; Squamata; Agamidae
Description: U1 spliceosomal RNA (ENSPVIG00000011773.1)
Rfam family: U1 spliceosomal RNA
About the family: U1 is a small nuclear RNA (snRNA) component of the spliceosome (involved in pre-mRNA splicing).
Source: RNAcentral
GGCCAUACCUUGCAGGGGAAAUACCAUGUUAUAAGAAUGGUUUUCUGAGGGGGAAGGCUUAUCCAUUGUACUUCAUCCAUUAUGCUGCUGAUCCCUGCGAUUUCCCCAAAUGUGAGGAACUCAUCUGCAUAAAUUGAGUCAAUGGGAGAUUGCACUUGUGAUUAACCCUG